UGGCCCAGAUCGUUUACCGUGAAAAAAUUAGAGUGUUCAAAGCAGGCAGAUCCAAUUUUCUGCCACYGAAUACAUUAGCAUGGGAUAAUGGAAUAGGACCCUGUCCUCCUAUUUUCAGUUGGUUUUGGCAGCGCGAGGACUAGGGUAAUGAUUAAUAGGGAUAGUUGGGGGCAUUAAUAUUUAAUUGUCAGAGGUGAAAUUCUUGGAUUUAURAAAGAUUAACUUUUCUUCCURYCCCUCAGCCAAGGAUGUUUUCAUUAAUCAAGAACGAAAGUUAGGGGAUCGAAGACGAUCAGAUACCGUCGUUGGCCUCCUCUCACGAUGCCGACCAGCGAUUAGGAGACGUYCCCCCCCCUUUUCCCACCAUCGGUUGCGGYCCMUCCUWWRGCGUCUUCGGUUUCGGCCCGGRGRCGCGGGGAUGG
RNAcentral lists this ribosomal RNA (422 nucleotides) under Acanthamoeba sp. RNAcentral describes it as "partial 18S ribosomal RNA". It matches the Rfam family "Eukaryotic small subunit ribosomal RNA", at positions 750 to 1084 of the family's 1831-position model. Lineage: Eukaryota; Discosea; Longamoebia; Acanthamoebidae. The record is from RNAcentral.